Molecule: long non-coding RNA, 2003 nt
Filed under: Nicotiana tabacum (common tobacco)
Lineage: Eukaryota; Viridiplantae; Streptophyta; Magnoliopsida; Solanales; Solanaceae
Description: long non-coding RNA (NTAB_LNC006348)
Source: RNAcentral
UGGAGUGGUCGCAAAUAAUAUAAAGUAUUUUUAUUUUAUUUGAGUUUUUCCACUACUGUGGUCGCAAAACUAAUUUAAAAUUAUUUAUUUAUUUAUAUUCCGACUACUGUGGUUGCAAAUCUAAUUUAAUAUUUUUUUUAAUUUAAUUUUUCCACUACAGCAGUCGCAAAUGUUCGUAGAAAUUUUUUGAUAGAUUCCAGCUCUUUUAAAGCACCACCGGCUGCCAAUUCAAAUAUACAGCAACUAACCAAUUAAUCUACCAUGCGAACCAAUUAUUCCACAAUGUCAACCAAUCAAUCCGCCAUUUCAACCAGUCAAUCUACCAUUGCAACUAAUCAAAUCCAUAAAAUGCAAAACAUAAAUAUUUGUAACUAAAAUAUUCAAAAAGAGUUAAACAAUAUUGCAUUUUUUUUGUGGGUGAGAUAUUGCGUUUAUCCAUUAAUUUCAUUUGUCAAACAAUAUUUUAUUCCUUUUCUUAAUUUUAUGUCAUAUAUAUGAGUUUAUCCGUAAACAGAUUAAUAGAAAUUUAUUAUAACAUCUGUGAGAUACUGGUGUUUAUCUUUUUCUUUGUCAGUCAGUAUAUUGUUUUCCAAAAUUAACUGAUCAAUAAUUAACGGAUUAAUAAAAAUUAGUUAGUUGUCCUGAUUAAGCUUAAAAAUGUACGAACUAUUACAUCAUACACCCUAGUACUCUAAUCGCAUACCAUAAGGUUUUGUAAAUACCACCAAACAAACAUAAUGUGUUUCCUUCCGAACGUUGCCUUAUUUAUUUCCUUGUUAAAACUUUUACCGGAAGUAAUUUAUUGGAUAGCAAAUUUUUCGUUUGUCCCGUUUUUAUGACAUUACUAUCUUAUAUAUGGAUUCAAGCAACUUUUCUCUUAGACUACAAUAUGUUGCAAUACUUUAAAGUAGUUUGUUAUAAAAGCUGUAAUUUAUAGUACUUUUGUAUAAAGUAGUUUGGUAUCUGUGCUUGGAAAUAUAUAUAUUAUUCUUCUUCUUUCUUUUGCUGUAAAUUGUUUUUGAAACAGAAUGUUAGUUCAAUAUGCAUAAAGGUAGAACCUAUGUAACUUUUUCAAUCUCCCAAACUUACCUUCACAUGAUUUGCCCAAAUGUCAGGGACCACUGAUGGUAGAACCAUUAAACACGUGCUUCCUCGCAUCAUCAUAUAGGAUAUUUACGAUGAUCGACGUUUCAUCAUCUGUCUAUUUAUCAGCAGAAGCACCACGUGAUUUAUCAGUUGAACCACGUGGUCUAUUCAUUCUUUUACGUUUCUACAAUACAAUAAUAAUAGGGCAACAUAUCACAUGCCUAACUUCAUUUUCUUAGAGUGCAUAAAAUCCAAAAGCAUACCUUAAACUAUAUGGAAGGCAUACUAAUACAAGCAGAAGGAUUAAAAUUUAAAGUAUGUUAUCCUAUUAACCGGUAGAGGCAGAGCCACAAAAUUCUCAUCGGAAAUCUCAAAACUAGCUUCAGGUAUUAUGGGCAUUACAAAACUUUAAAAGCAAGGCCAAAACAUUAGCUGCAUCAGCCGAAUGAUACAAAAAAAAUAAAGCAUAAAGAUGCUAUAUAAAAGGGAAAGAAAUUAUUUUUUUGAGUUGCGUCUGCUUCCCAAUAUCCAAAUUGCAUAACCACAUAAACAUCUGGGCUGAAAAGAGUAACUUUUCCGACCAACACAAGACCACAGUUUCAAUCAAACACAACCGGAAAAAAAAAAGAAAUAAAGAGAAAUAGCCAUUUAUCGUCAUCACAAGCAAAGAUUAGUCAAUGUAGGAGAUGAGAGACCUCAUAUACAUAGGAGGGUUUACAAAUCUGAAGAAAAACUCAUACAAAUCAAGCAAAACAAAUCUGAAAAAAAUUCAUACAGAACUAGUGAAACAAAUCCGAAGAAAAUUCAUACAAAUCUGCAGAAAAUUUAAACAAGUAUUAGCAGAUUUUACCAAAUUACCUUCAAAUUUCGUCUUUGUUGUGGAUUGCAAUCGAUUGGCACGGAGAAUUUGCGGUGGA